This is a regulatory RNA element of Erwinia billingiae, 121 nucleotides long. It matches the Rfam family "Enterobacteria greA leader". Lineage: Bacteria; Pseudomonadati; Pseudomonadota; Gammaproteobacteria; Enterobacterales; Erwiniaceae. The record is from Rfam.
GACAUACUACGGUGCAUCGUUGUGGAAAGUAAACGAUGACCCAUAAGGAACUCUGGGUUAAAAUACGUAUCAAAAUGCAAAACCUCCAGGCCCUGAGCUUCCCUUUGGGUCUGGUUUAUUU